GACGUAGGGUGCAAGCGUUAAUCGGAAUUACUGGGCGUAAAGCGUGCGCAGGCGGUCUUGCAAGACAGAUGUGAAAUCCCCGGGCUCAACCUGGGAACUGCAUUUGUGACUGCAAGGCUGGAGUGCGGCAGAGGGGGAUGGAAUUCCACGUGUAGCAGUGAAAUGCGUAGAGAUGUGGAGGAACACCGAUGGCGAAGGCAGCCCCCUGGGCUAACACUGACGCUCAGGCACGAAAGCGUGGGGAGCAAACAGG
Molecule: ribosomal RNA, 253 nt
Filed under: uncultured bacterium
Lineage: Bacteria
Description: partial 16S ribosomal RNA
Rfam family: Bacterial small subunit ribosomal RNA
Source: RNAcentral